Molecule: ribosomal RNA, 446 nt
Filed under: uncultured bacterium
Lineage: Bacteria
Description: bacterial SSU rRNA
Rfam family: Bacterial small subunit ribosomal RNA
Source: RNAcentral
GCCAGACUCCUACGGGAGGCAGCAGUGGGGAAUAUUGCACAAUGGGGGAAACCCUGAUGCAGCGACGCCGCGUGAGUGAAGAAGUAAUUCGUUAUGUAAAGCUCUAUCAGCAGGGAAGAAAAUGACGGUACCUGAGUAAGAAGCCCCGGCUAACUACGUGCCAGCAGCCGCGGUAAUACGUAGGGGGCAAGCGUUAUCCGGAUUUAUUGGGUUUAAAGGGUGCGUAGGCGGUUUUUUAAGUUAGUGGUUAAACGUCGGGGCUUCACCUUGAUUUGCCAUUAAUACUGUAAGACUCGAGUUCAGACGAGGUAGGCGGAAUAAGUUAAGUAGCGGUGAAAUGCUUAGAUAUAACUUAGAACUCCGAUAACGAAGGCAGCUUACCAGACUGCGACUGACGCUGAAGCACGAGAGCGUGGGUAGCGAACCGGAUUAGAUACCCCUGUAGC